UUUAAGUCAGCGGUGAAAUUUUCAGGCUCAACCUGAACACUGCCGUUGAAACUGGGAUUCUUGAGUAUGGAUGAAGUAGGCGGAAUUCGUUGUGUAGCGGUGACAUGCUUAGAUAUAACGAGGAACUCCGAUUGCGUAGGCAGCUUACUAAGCCAUAACUGACGCUCAAGCACGAAAGCGUGGGGAUCAAACAGGAUUAGAUACCCUGGUAGUCCACGCCGUAAACGAUGAUUACUAGUUGUUUGCGAUAUACCGUAAGUGACUAAGCGAAAGCGAUAAGUAAUCCACCUGGGGAGUACGCCGGCAACGGUGAAACUCAAAGGAAUUGAC
This 330-nucleotide ribosomal RNA is filed under the name uncultured Dysgonomonas sp. Its description in RNAcentral is "bacterial SSU rRNA". It matches the Rfam family "Bacterial small subunit ribosomal RNA", at positions 582 to 914 of the family's 1533-position model. The record is from RNAcentral. Lineage: Bacteria; Pseudomonadati; Bacteroidota; Bacteroidia; Bacteroidales; Dysgonomonadaceae.